UACGUAGGGUGCAAGCGUUGUCCGGAAUUAUUGGACGUAAAGAGCUCGUAGGCGGUCUGUCGCGUCGGCUGUGAAAACCUGGGGCUCAACCCCGGGCCUGCAGCCGAUACGGGCAAACUAGAAUUCGGUAGGGGAGACUGGAAUUCCUGGUGUAGCGGUGAAAUGCGCAGAUAUCAGGAGGAACACCGGUGGCGAAGGCGGGUCUCUGGGCCGAUAUUGACGCUGAGGAGCGAAAGCGUGGGGAGCGAACAGG
RNAcentral lists this ribosomal RNA (253 nucleotides) under uncultured bacterium. Its description in RNAcentral is "partial 16S ribosomal RNA". It matches the Rfam family "Bacterial small subunit ribosomal RNA", at positions 524 to 776 of the family's 1533-position model. The record is from RNAcentral.